Molecule: unclassified non-coding RNA, 381 nt
Filed under: uncultured fungus
Lineage: Eukaryota; Fungi
Description: partial contains small subunit ribosomal RNA, internal transcribed spacer 1, and 5.8S ribosomal RNA
Rfam family: Eukaryotic small subunit ribosomal RNA (bases 1-73)
Source: RNAcentral
GCAAACUUGGUCAUUUAGAGGAAGUAAAAGUCGUAACAAGGUUUCCGUAGGUGAACCUGCGGAAGGAUCAUUACUGAAUGAAAUGGGUUGCUGCUGGCUUUGACAGGCAAUGUGCACGCCCACUCCAUUUUUUCCAAACCCCCCUUGUGCACCUUGUGUAGAUCCUUGAAUAACAGCUCAAGAGGACACUGCUUUUUUGCUUUCUUUGGCCAAAAGGCGGCACUGUUGUGCUCAAGUUCGAGGUUCUAUGUCUUUUGAUACAAUACUCCACAAGCAUGUAUCAGAGUGUUGAUGGCAAAUGGGCCUCUCGAGGCCCUUUUGAAUUCAAAUACAACUUUCAACAACGGAUCUCUUGGCUCUCGCAUCGAUGAAGAACGCAGC